Molecule: ribosomal RNA, 460 nt
Filed under: uncultured bacterium
Lineage: Bacteria
Description: partial 16S ribosomal RNA
Rfam family: Bacterial small subunit ribosomal RNA
Source: RNAcentral
CCUACGGGAGGCAGCAGUGAGGAAUAUUGGUCAAUGGGCGCUAGCCUGAACCAGCCAAGUCGCGUGAGGGAGGACGGCCCUACGGGUUGUAAACCUCUUUUGCCGGGGAGCAACGUGCGCCACGUGUGGCGUCACUGAGAGUACCCGGAGAAAAAGCAUCGGCUAACUCCGUGCCAGCGGCCGCGGUAAUACGGAGGAUGGGAGCGUUAUCCGGUUUGAUUGGGUUAAAGGGGUGCGUAGGCGGAUCGUUAAGUAAGUGGUAAAAUUGAGGGGCUCAACCCCUUCCCGCCAUUGAAACUGGCGUUCUUGAGUGGAAGAGAGGUAUGCGGAAUGCGUGGUGUAGCGGUGAAAUGCAUAGAUAUCACGCAGAACCCCGAUUGCGAAGGCAGCAUGCCGGCUUCCGACUGACGCUGAAGCACGAAAGCGUGGGGAUCGAACAGGAUUAGAUACCCCGGUAGUC